CUUUCAGCCGCAGAGAGAAGAAGCUGCCCAAGAAUGGAAAGGAAGAAAUAUAUCACAUCAUCUGUCUGUCCACAGGCUUUCCUUUGGGCUUAUGGAGAUUUCCUAGUGGUUACUGUUUCCCAUUGACUCAAAACCAAAGGACAAAGUGGACAUCUAACAAACAGGUUUCUCAUUUUCCUCUGACAUAAUUGUACCACGAGACUCAUAGAAAACUUCAAAUACAAUGGUGGAAAGCGCAAGGUGUAUCAAAAAGGGACCGCAGUUAAAAGCUAGGGCUAGGAUUUGGAGGAUGUGUAGGCAAACGGAAGGAGAGCCGGGGGAAGAAAAACCGAAAUGGAUUCAUUCUCUGUCCUGGAUGGAGGAGGAGAAGAGAAGAGAAGGGCACGUGAAAGCUUCCUUCAACUGCCUCUGUCCGGUGAAAAGUGAUCAACCCCCCGGGACUGAAUAGAACUCAAGAGUCCACGCGGACUUUCGCUUUAUCCUGCCAAUCAAACUGCUUACUAGACAACACCCUGAUCUGGCAUGGACAUUAAGAAGGAUAAGCUUGGAGCGCCCAGUCACCGUGGUAACUGCCAGAAAAAUUCUCCUGAAGUUUGAAGAGGUCAGCUCACAGGGUCAACAACUCUGGCCUCUUUCUGAGCUGGGCCUGGCAGGCCCCAUCCUGCAGUUGGAGUGGUAGGCCAGGCCUAGCCCUGGGAGGUGGGCCAUUCCAGCUCUGAUAUAAAUUUUUUGAGUCAGUUCACGGCCUGGACUCUCCAGGUGGUCUCCAAAAUCGAUUGUGACCUUCUGACCUUGUCUAACGGAGGCAUAGCAUCCAACCUAAGUAAGGAUUUAGCCAGGAAUGACAGCUUUCCACUGAGUGUUAUUGGGGACAGUACAAACAAUUUUGGAAGCAAGGAGGUAGGUAUGAGGAGUAGAGGUCAUUAAAAGCAUAUUAAAAAACUAUUUUUUAAAAUAACCUUGUUGGUGAAAAGUUUUUAUUAGCAUUGAGUACCCCUGUUAUAAACCUUUUCAGCAAAGCCCUUUCCCCCUCCCCAAUGCUAUUUUAUAUUAAAUAUUCUGAAUGUUAACGUGAAAAAUAGGCCCUUUGUAUAUUCCAAACCUAGUAUUUCCUCUGCAUUUGGAUUUCAAAUAUGUAAAUAAGGCUGACUGAUUUGUAGCCGAAUAGGCACUGUCUAUAAAGACGGGAUUUUUUCUUAACACCACAGAAACAGCAGGUUGUUUAUUUAAGGAAGUAACUUCUUUAAUAUGGGCAGCCUUUUUAGAUUCAAAAUAAUCUUAAUAGAUGCAAUUUUUUAUUUAAAAAAGGAAAUUAAAUAACAUGCAAAAAUAGCCUGCUGGUUUCACAGGCUAUGUCCAUUGCUGUUUUGUAAAACAAAUAGCCAAGCCACAAAUUUGGUUACAUAUGAAUUGUAACAAUGCUAAGAUCAUACCUAUAUCCAAGAAGAAAUAUUCUUGACAAUUGUAAGAAAUGUAGAAUUAUCUUGGGGCUGUUACUGUGCAGAGGUAACAAAGUAUAUAAUUUGAGCUUCUCAGCAAGUAGCUUUAUGCUUUGGGUUCCUACUGAGAUUGUCCUAUUUUAUUACUAUUUUAAAGAACCUAUUCUGCACCCAUACUCACUUGAGUAAUCUUUAUUCAUUUGCAGAAGUGGGACUGUAUGGAAUAGGAAAAGUACAGUUACCAAGUCGAACAAUGUUCUUAAAAUUUCAUAUAUGACCUUAAAACUGUUAUGAAGAAAGUAAAUUGUGUAAUUAUUUUGUCCCAUUCUUAGGAAAAAUUAAAUAAACACACCCCAGCAGGAAUGUUUUUCCAAAUCAUUCUUGCUGUGCCUAGUAAAUAAGAGCUAAGUUCCAAUAUCCUUGCUCAUGUUCCGUUAGUAACUUACCCCUCAAGUGGCCCCAUUGAAGCCACUGGAGAUGCCAAAAGAGUGAGAUAUUAAACACAAAUAAGAGUGGCAGAGUCUGGCCCAAAGGCUCAGUUCUGAAACUGAUUCUCACAACAAAUAGUACUUUACUCUGCAAAUGCUCCUGUUGGUUACUAUGGCUCAGAUUCUGUUGCCUUUACUCACAUUGAAUAGUACCUUACUCUGCAAAUAAUCUCAUUGAAAUCAGUGGAACAUUUGUGGAAUAAGAUAUUAGUCAGGCUGCAUAAGGGUGGCAGAAUCUGAUCAGUGGGGCUUGGUGUGAAGUAAGGUACUACUUAGGGUGAGUAAGGAUGGCAGAGCUGGGCCCCAAAUAAACUAGGGCCUAAUCCUGGACCUGUUGAAGUCCAGGGUAAAUCCUCUCAUGGUUUUCCUAGUGAAUACCAACCACACAUUUUUUUAAAACAGGGCUACAGUAAAAACAAUGUAGUGACAUGAGAAGGCCCAUUGAAUUCAGAGGGACUCUUUGUGAGAAUAAGACUGGCAGAAUCUGGCUCGUACUCUUCAGUGAGGGUUAGUGCCUUUGCUUGGUUUAUGGAAAACAUAUUUAAAAAUGAGAGUUAUGAGCAGUCAAAUGAUUUUUAGCAGAGCUUACUAUAUCCUCAUCUCCUUUGUGGCAUGAUUCUACAUUUCCCCUGUCCUGCCUAACAAGCACAUGGGCUGCUACUAACAGUCUGCAUGAUGGAGAAUGUAAAUAUUUCCCUGGGACACAGAUCAAAAUCUCCCAGCCCCUGCCCCAGCCUUACCAUCAAGAACAGGCAAAAAUAAUUGGCAUCGGAAAUAAAGAAGUGAAUCUCAAUAUCUUUGGUUCUCUGCAAUUUUACUUGCAUUUUAGGGUAACAUGAAAAAUUGGACAUUUCCUUAAAACAAAAUCGGGUUGGGGCCUGAUUGUCGUCUGUCUGUUCACGUUGUGCAGUCAUCUGCACCUGAGCAAAGUGGAUAUAAAAUGCACAGACGCAAAUGAAAACACAGGAAGUGGAGAAAAAAGCCCUUUAUCUUUUUCCAUAGUGAAGAUUCAGCUAUCAUAUAUACAAAUGAUAGAUUGUCUCCUACCAAACAUUAGCAGCAGCAAAGGUGAGAAUUUUUAACCUCCUUCAUGCCAUUUAUUUCAGUGCAAUGUGAACGUCAAAACAUAAUGGCUCCAUUGCAAUAGUUUAUUAAAUAAAGGCUAUUCCUUUACACUUUAAUUAAAAAGCAAGGGAAUUAUAUGAACAAACUGGCUUAAUGAAAAGUUAAGGAUGAACAGUCAAAAUCACCAAGAGAGACAAGGAGGGCGAGGUAAUAUCUUUUAUUGGACCACCUUCCAUGGGUGAAAGAGACAAGCUUUCAACCUGCAGAAGAGGUCUAUGUAGUUCAAAAGCUUGUCUCUUUCACCAAGAGAAGUGGGUCUAGUAAAAUAUAUUCCUUCACCCACCUUGUGUGUCGACUCUCGUGGGACCAACACAGCUAUAGCAACACUGCAAAAUCACCCAGGGCAGGACAGUAGUGUUUAACCAUAGCGUGUAGUAUGGGCUGGUAAAGAGCUGCACUGCCCUGGGGGAACUGCUAGAGGCAGCAUGUCUCCCAGAGGUGGCUGCACUUAGGGAAGCACCA
Chelonoidis abingdonii (Abingdon island giant tortoise) is the source of this 3514-nucleotide long non-coding RNA. RefSeq lists it as uncharacterized. The record is from RefSeq and is a predicted model, not a curated record. NCBI's taxonomy places the organism in Eukaryota, Metazoa, Chordata, Testudines, Testudinidae.